CAAUAGCGUAUAUUAAAGUUGCUGCAGUUAAAAAGCUCGUAGUUGCAUUUCCGAGGCAAGGGAUUAGUCCGACCUUUGGUGGGUAUUUAAUCCUCUUGCCUCGUCCUUGAGUGGUGCUUCUUGGUAUUAAGUUAUCGAGGAGAUAGCCGCUCAUCGUUUACUGUGAGAAAAUUAGAGUGUUCAAAGCAGGCUUAUGCCGUUGAAUAUAUUAGCAUGGAAUAAUAAGAUAGGACCUCGGUACUAUUUUGUUGGUUUGAGAACCAAGGUAAUGAUGAAUAGGGACAGUUGGGGGUAUUCGUAUUCAGUUGUCAGAGGUGAAAUUCUUGGAUUUACGAAAGACGAACUACUGCGAAAGCAUUUACCAAGGAUGUUUUCAUUA
Molecule: ribosomal RNA, 379 nt
Filed under: uncultured eukaryote
Lineage: Eukaryota
Description: partial 18S ribosomal RNA
Rfam family: Eukaryotic small subunit ribosomal RNA
Source: RNAcentral